CAUGCCUUACACAUGCAAGUCGAACGCGAAAGCACUUUCGGGUGUUAGUAGAGUGGCAAACGGGUGAGUAACGCGUGGGAAUAUACCUUCAGGUGCGGAAUAGCCUCGGGAGACUGGGAUUAAUACCGCAUGAUGUCUUCGGACCAAAGAUUUAUCGCCUGAAGAUUAGCCCGCGUCGGAUUAGCUGGUUGGUCGGGUAAUAGCCUACCACGGCAACGAUCUGUAGCUGGUCUGAGAGGACGAACGGCCACAUUGGGACUGGGACACGGCCCAAACUCCUACGGGAGGCAGCAGUGGGGAAUAUUGGACAAUGGACGAAAGACUUAACCUGCAAUGCCACGUGAAUGAUGAAGGCCUUAGGGUGGUAAAGUUCUUUAAGGGGGGAAGAUAAUGACGGUACCCACAGAAUAAGCACCGACUAACUUCGUCCCAGCAGCCGCCGUAA
Molecule: ribosomal RNA, 445 nt
Filed under: uncultured bacterium
Lineage: Bacteria
Description: partial 16S ribosomal RNA
Rfam family: Bacterial small subunit ribosomal RNA
Source: RNAcentral